AGGCGGCUUUCUGGUCUGCAACUGACGCUGAUGUGCGAAAGCGUGGGGAUCAAACAGGAUUAGAUACCCUGGUAGUCCACGCCGUAAACGAUGAGUGCUAAGUGUUAGGGGGGUUCCGCCCCUUAGUGCUGCAGCUAACGCAUUAAGCACUCCGCCUGGGGAGUACGGUCGCAAGACUGAAACUCAAAGGAAUUGACGGGGACCCGCACAAGCGGUGGAGCAUGU
This 225-nucleotide non-coding RNA is filed under the name Staphylococcus microti. RNAcentral's name for it is "partial 16S ribosomal RNA". It matches the Rfam family "Bacterial small subunit ribosomal RNA", at positions 719 to 942 of the family's 1533-position model. Lineage: Bacteria; Bacillati; Bacillota; Bacilli; Caryophanales; Staphylococcaceae. The record is from RNAcentral.